Molecule: ribosomal RNA, 465 nt
Filed under: Vreelandella stevensii
Lineage: Bacteria; Pseudomonadati; Pseudomonadota; Gammaproteobacteria; Oceanospirillales; Halomonadaceae
Description: partial 16S ribosomal RNA
Rfam family: Bacterial small subunit ribosomal RNA
Source: RNAcentral
CCUACGGGUGGCUGCAGUGGGGAAUAUUGGACAAUGGGGGGAACCCUGAUCCAGCCAUGCCGCGUGUGUGAAGAAGGCCCUCGGGUUGUAAAGCACUUUCAGUGAGGAAGAACGCCUGGUGGUUAAUACCCAUCAGGAAAGACAUCACUCACAGAAGAAGCACCGGCUAACUCCGUGCCAGCAGCCGCGGUAAUACGGAGGGUGCGAGCGUUAAUCGGAAUUACUGGGCGUAAAGCGCGCGUAGGUGGCUUGAUAAGCCGGUUGUGAAAGCCCCGGGCUCAACCUGGGAACGGCAUCCGGGACUGUCAAGCUAGAGUGCAGGAGAGGAAGGUAGAAUUCCCGGUGUAGCGGUGAAAUGCGUAGAGAUCGGGAGGAAUACCAGUGGCGAAGGCGGCCUUCUGGACUGACACUGACACUGAGGUGCGAAAGCGUGGGUAGCAAACAGGAUUAGAUACCCUGGUAGUC